GGAGUUGGCCAGACAGUCGCCCCUUCCGCGCGGCAGGGGAGGAAAGUCCGGGCUCCAUCGGGCAGGGUGCCAGGUAAUGCCUGGGGGAUGUGAGUCCACGGAAAGUGCCACAGAAAAGAUACCGCCGGCUCCGCCGGUAAGGGUGAAAAGGUGCGGUAAGAGCGCACCGCGCUGGUGGCAACAUCAGCGGCAGGGUAAACCCCACCCGGAGCAAGACCAAAUAGAGGAACGAGCCGCCUUGAGCGGCGACGCGCGGCCCUUGCGUGUUCCUGGGUAGGUCGCUUGAGGCGCGCGGUGACGCGCGUCCUAGAUGAAUGACUGUCCUCGACAGAACCCGGCUUAUCGGCCAACUCCUUAA
RNAcentral lists this RNase P RNA (358 nucleotides) under Thermochromatium tepidum ATCC 43061. RNAcentral describes it as "RNase P RNA component class A". It matches the Rfam family "Bacterial RNase P class A". From Rfam's summary of the family: Ribonuclease P (RNase P) is a ubiquitous endoribonuclease, found in archaea, bacteria and eukarya as well as chloroplasts and mitochondria. Its best characterised activity is the generation of mature 5'-ends of tRNAs by cleaving the 5'-leader elements of precursor-tRNAs. The record is from RNAcentral. Lineage: Bacteria; Pseudomonadati; Pseudomonadota; Gammaproteobacteria; Chromatiales; Chromatiaceae.